AACGCACCUUGCGCUCCUUGGUAUUCCGAGGAGCAUGCCUGUUUGAGUGUCAUGAAACUCUCAACCUCUGACUUUCUUAAUCGUCGGUCAGCGGCUUGGACUUGGGUGCUGCCGGUCUUAAUUGAUCAGCUCGCCUGAAAUGUUUUAGCGAAUCCCUUCUGUAAUCGGUUCCACUCGACGUGAUAAGUAUUUCGUCGAGGACAUCUUUAUUGAUGGCCGAGAUAAAGUUGGUUUAAGAUCUGCUUCUAACUCUUUCUUUUGCCAUCUGGCAGGGAAAACCCCUUUAUGAUCUGGCCUCAAAUCAGGUAGGACUACCCGCUGAACUUAA
Molecule: unclassified non-coding RNA, 328 nt
Filed under: uncultured Itersonilia
Lineage: Eukaryota; Fungi; Basidiomycota; Tremellomycetes; Cystofilobasidiales
Description: sequence contains ITS2
Rfam family: 5.8S ribosomal RNA (bases 1-52)
Source: RNAcentral